AUAGAGGUAGAGCUACUGAUUGGAUGCGGGGCCUUCACCGGCUACCAAUUCCUGACAAACUCCGAAUGCUAUGAAAUGAUGUACAGCAGUGAGGGCAUGGGUGCUAAGGUCCAUGUCCGAGAGGGAAAGAACCCAGACCAUCAGCUAAGGUCCCAAAGUGUAUGCUAAGUUGAAUAAACGAGGUUUGACUGCCCAGACAGCUAGGAUGUUGGCUUGGAAGCAGCCAUUCAUUUAAAGAGUGCGUAACAGCUCACUAGUCGAGCGGUCGAGCAUGGAUAAUAAUCGGGCAUAAGCAUAUCACCGAAGCUAUGGCAUCGAAAGAUGGGUAGGGGAGCAUUGUAGCGACGUUGAAGGUAAACUGUGAGGUUUGCUGGAGUUUCUACAAAAGAAAAUGUAGGCAUAAGUAACGAUAAUGCGGGCGAGAAACCCGCACACCGAAAGACUAAGGUUUCCUCAGCUAUGCUAAUCAGCUGAGGGUUAGUCGGGACCUAACGCGAACCCGAAAGGGGUAGUGGAUGGACAACAGGUUAAUAUUCCUGUACCUGCUCUCACUAAAAGUGACGGAUUGCCCAGAUAUCUACGUGGUGACGGAAGUCCACGUUGAGCAUAGCCUUCGGGCGAAGCGAUGAUAAGUAAGCAGUUCCAAGAAAAGCGAGAGAAGCAGCCCGUACCGUAAACCGACACAGGUAGUUGGGAUGAGUAUUCUAAGGUGCUCGAGAGAUUCAUGGCUAAGGAACUAGGCAAAAUCGACCCGUAACUUCGGGAGAAGGGUCGCCACGUUUCGACGUGGCCGCAGUGAAAAGAUCCAGGCGACUGUUUAUCAAAAACACAGGACUCUGCUAAAUCGAAAGAUGACGUAUAGGGUCUGACACCUGCCCGGUGCCGGAAGGUUAAGUGGAGUUGUUAGCUUCGGCGAAGCAAUCAAAUGAAGCCCCGGUAAACGGCGGCCGUAACUAUAACGGUCCUAAGGUAGCGAAAUUCCUUGUCGGGUAAGUUCCGACCUGCACGAAUGGUGCAACGAUCUGGAUACUGUCUCGGCCAUGAGCUCGGUGAAAUUGUAGUAUCGGUGAAGAUGCCGAUUACCCGCUACGGGACGAAAAGACCCCGUGCACCUUUACUAUAGCUUCGUAUUGACUUUGGAUAAGUAAUGUGUAGGAUAGGUGGGAGACUUUGAAGCGGCAUCGCUAGGUGUUGUGGAGUCACCCUUGAAUACCACCCUUUACUUAUCUAGGGCUAAUCUGUUUACAGAGACAGUGCGUGGUGGGUAGUU
Molecule: ribosomal RNA, 1270 nt
Filed under: metagenome
Description: bacterial LSU rRNA
Rfam family: Bacterial large subunit ribosomal RNA
Source: RNAcentral